CCGACAUUCGAGGUAAUUAACUGACUUAUUUCAUGAUUGAAGAGGUUUUCUAACAAAGUUUUAUUCUUUUUUUUCGAUUUCGACAAGUAUUUUUCUAGUUUUCUCGCUUAUUUCUUGACUAAUUAGGGCUGUAUGGUAUUCAAGGGCAUUAUGCUAUAUACAGCCCGCGGUACAUCAAAGAAAACCGAGUCAAUCAUGAAAUAACAGCCUUUACUGUCGUUGUGGAAACAAGGAA
This is a non-coding RNA of Paramuricea clavata, 235 nucleotides long. The record is from the annotation of a GenBank genome assembly. Lineage: Eukaryota; Metazoa; Cnidaria; Anthozoa; Malacalcyonacea; Plexauridae.